GUUCCUGUAGGCUAAUGGAUAAACCAUCCGGCUACGAACCGGCAAUUGGGAGUUCGAAUCUCUUCAGGAACA
Molecule: transfer RNA, 72 nt
Filed under: Enterocloster aldenensis
Lineage: Bacteria; Bacillati; Bacillota; Clostridia; Lachnospirales; Lachnospiraceae
Description: [Clostridium] aldenense tRNA-Arg
Rfam family: tRNA
About the family: Transfer RNA (tRNA) molecules are approximately 80 nucleotides in length. Their secondary structure includes four short double-helical elements and three loops (D, anti-codon, and T loops).
Source: RNAcentral